AACUAACGCUGGCGGCGCGUCUUAAACAUGCAAGUCGAACGAAAACCCCAGUGCUUGCAUUGGGGGGAAAGUGGCGAACGGGUGAGUAACACGUGGAUAAUAUGCCUUCAGGAUGGGGAUAACCACUCGAAAGGGUGGCUAAUACCGAAUAAGAUGGUAGCUGCAUAAGCAGCAGCCAUUAAAGAUGGGGGACCUUCGGGGCCUAUCACCUGAAGAUUAGUCCGCGGCCUAUUAGCUAGUUGGCAGGGUAAUGGCCUACCAAGGCUGCGAUGGGUAGCCGGCCUGAGAGGGCGAUCGGCCACAUUGGGACUGAGAUACGGCCCAAACUCCUACGGGUGGCAG
RNAcentral lists this ribosomal RNA (342 nucleotides) under uncultured Spirochaetota bacterium. RNAcentral's name for it is "bacterial SSU rRNA". It matches the Rfam family "Bacterial small subunit ribosomal RNA", at positions 29 to 351 of the family's 1533-position model. Lineage: Bacteria; Pseudomonadati; Spirochaetota. The record is from RNAcentral.